This 253-nucleotide ribosomal RNA is filed under the name uncultured bacterium. RNAcentral's name for it is "partial 16S ribosomal RNA". It matches the Rfam family "Bacterial small subunit ribosomal RNA", at positions 524 to 776 of the family's 1533-position model. The record is from RNAcentral.
UACAGAGGUCUCAAGCGUUGUUCGGAUUCAUUGGGCGUAAGGGGUGCGUAGGCGGCGCGGUAAGUCGGGUGUGAAAUCUCGGAGCUUAACUCCGAAACUGCAUUCGAUACUGCCGUGCUUGAGGACUGGAGAGGAGACUGGAAUUUACGGUGUAGCGGUGGAAUGCGCAGAUAUCAGGAGGAACACCAAUUGCGAAGGCAGCUCGCUGGGACGGUACUGACGCUGAGGCGCGAAAGCGUGGGGAGCGAACAGG